GGCUGUGUAGCUCUGGGGUAGAGCAUGUGCUCAACAUGCAUAAAGCCCUGGGUUCAAUCCCCAGAACCA
Molecule: transfer RNA, 69 nt
Filed under: Marmota marmota marmota (Alpine marmot)
Lineage: Eukaryota; Metazoa; Chordata; Mammalia; Rodentia; Sciuridae
Also listed under: 1 other name
Rfam family: tRNA
About the family: Transfer RNA (tRNA) molecules are approximately 80 nucleotides in length. Their secondary structure includes four short double-helical elements and three loops (D, anti-codon, and T loops).
Source: Rfam by way of RNAcentral